UUCGCAGCCCUCACAACCUAACCUCUGAAACUCCUCCCCUUCUCCAUUGCGCAGCUGCGCCGCUUUCCAACUUCCAGGUGCCGCGCCGCUUUCCAACUUCUCUACCGGCUGCUGCCAGCCUGCCCCUGUCGACGCCGUCGCCGGCAAUCUCUCUCCGUCGACAGCAAUCUCUCUCCGGUGCGUCGUCUCUCUCCGGUGCGACGUCUUUUUCUUUAAUUUCAUGUUGGUUUUAAAAAUAUAAGUUUGUAGCUUCCGCAGCAAUGCUAAGGAAAUCGGAUUUAUUAAAUAUCGUUGAACUGUGUUGCCAUCGACUUUGCAGAGAGGGUGCUGUGAUUUAUUUAGUUGUAGGCUUGUAGCCAUUUAUUUUUAAUGGAUUUAGUUGAAAUGAUUUUUAUUCAGCAUGUUUAGACGCACAUUUGAUGAUAAAUCUUAAGAUUUUGUUUUUAUUGGUUUGUUAAAAAAAUAAAAAUAUAAGUUUGUUCUUCUUUGAAAUUAAAAAUGGGAACUGCAACAUGUUUAAAUCAAUUGAUCCUUUUUGUUUGUUCUUUGUUUUUCUCUAUUGAUGUCUAAAUCAGUAGUAUUCACAUUGUAAUGUUCCUUUGGUAUGAGAAUUGUAAUUUGAUUGGUGAUUUGCCUCAUAUAUUUGUUGGUAUUAAUGCGUUUAUAUAUUGACUGAAAUGUAUAUAUUUUUUAUUCACAGGAAGUAGCUGAAAAUGAAACGAUAUUAUAAUCACAUAGUUACUACAAGUGGGGCGGGUUCAUCUUCAACGAUUAAUGGUCCUAAUGCACGUGUGGAACCUGAAGCAUCACCAAAAGAAGUGAAUAUUGAAGUUGAUCUUCAGCUUGAGCCAUCUUCGAAAGUGGUUGAUUUGUUAGAUGGUAUGUUGGGGCAAAUGGUACCGAUGAUUCACAAAAAUCUGAAGCUAUGGAUUUGUUAGAUGUUAUUAGUCGAUUUGAGUUUGUCUUUGUGUUACAUCUGAUGAAGAAAAUUUUGG
This 995-nucleotide long non-coding RNA is filed under the name Salvia miltiorrhiza (redroot sage). Its description in RNAcentral is "long non-coding RNA (SMIL_LNC005751)". The record is from RNAcentral. Lineage: Eukaryota; Viridiplantae; Streptophyta; Magnoliopsida; Lamiales; Lamiaceae.